GAUAUAAUCAGCACUUUCAACUAUGAUCUGAAGUAGGUGGGAUUACCCGCUGAACUUAAGCAUAUCAAUAAGCGGAGGAACUGAAUUAUUCACCCUUGUCUUUUGCGUACUUCUUGUUUCCUUGGUGGGUUCGCCCACCACUAGGACAAACAUAAACCUUUUGUAAUUGCAAUCAGCGUCAGUAACAAAUUAAUAAUUACAACUUUCAACAACGGAUCUCUUGGUUCUGGCAUCGAUGAAGAACGCAGCGAAAUGCGAUAAGUAGUGUGAAUUGCAGAAUUCAGUGAAUCAUCGAAUCUUUGAACGCACAUUGCGCCCUUUGGUAUUCCAAAGGGCAUGCCUGUUCGAGCGUCAUUUGUACCCUCAAGCUUUGCUUGGUGUUGGGCGUCUUGUCUCUAGCUUUGCUGGAGACUCGCCUUAAAGUAAUUGGCAGCCGGCCUACUGGUUUCGGAGCGCAGCACAAGUCGCACUCUCUAUCAGCAAAGGUCUAGCAUCCAUUAAGCCUUUUUUUCAACUUUUGACCUCGGAUCAGGUAGGGAUACCCGCUGAACUUAAGCAUA
This 560-nucleotide ribosomal RNA is filed under the name Mucoromycotina sp. Its description in RNAcentral is "eukaryotic LSU rRNA". The stretch from base 201 to 354 matches the Rfam family "5.8S ribosomal RNA". Lineage: Eukaryota; Fungi; Mucoromycota. The record is from RNAcentral.